UACGUAGGGGGCAAGCGUUGUCCGGAAUGACUGGGCGUAAAGGGAGUGUAGGCGGCCUUUUAAGUUAUAUGUGAAAGCCCCCGGCUUAACCGAGGAACUGCAUAUAAAACUGGAGGGCUGGAGUGCAGGAGAGGUAAGCGGAAUUUCUAGUGUAGCGGUGGAAUGCGUAGAUAUAUGGAAGAACACCAGUGGCGAAGGCGGCCGCCUGGCCUGUUACUGACGCUGAGGCACGAAAGCGUGGGGAGCAAAUAGG
RNAcentral lists this ribosomal RNA (253 nucleotides) under uncultured Eubacteriales bacterium. RNAcentral describes it as "uncultured Clostridiales bacterium partial 16S ribosomal RNA". It matches the Rfam family "Bacterial small subunit ribosomal RNA", at positions 524 to 776 of the family's 1533-position model. Lineage: Bacteria; Bacillati; Bacillota; Clostridia; Eubacteriales. The record is from RNAcentral.